GCCAAAAGCACUUUCACACAAAGGUCUUGUUGAUGUGAUGCAGUCAGUAGGGGGAGAUGUGACUUUAAUGUACAGGUAUUCCUCUCUCUCUGUUGAUACUAAAGUCUUGUACUCUCUCUCUCACCUUGUCAGAUUAUUUUUGCUGUGUGCAUAGCCAGAGUAUUUUUUAACCCUGUUUUAGAAGAAUGUUCAGAGCUGCGUAUGGACUGUGCUUUUAUUUAUUAUUAUAUAUAGGGAUGGUGCGAUGUGUGACCGUUCAACAGAACCCCACAUCCAUUUUAGCCAACGAGAAAUCUGCAGUGAUAAAUUGUAGUUAUGAUGAUAGUAACAUGGAUUAUAUGCAAUGGUAUCAGCAGAAGGAUACAGCCAUGGUCUUGAUCGUCUUCAGUUACAGUGCUACAGGUGAACCCACGUUUGAAGAUGGAUUUAAAGGCCGGACUGAACUGGACAGAACAGAAACACUGAAGGGAGUCCUGAAAAUCUCUGAUCUCAGUUCAUCAGACUCGGCUGUUUAUUACUGUGCUGUCAGUAUGCACAGUGCUGUAGUCUUUAUUACCUGCCUGACUAAAAACCAAGCCACCAGACAAACAGGAAAUGCAAUACGUACAAAUGAGGAAUCUAACCUCUGUAUCUUUUUCUUUUUUUCAGAUUUUCUUUUUCAAAGAUUUUUGUACUUUCUGUCAGUUUUUAAUUGAAAACACAAUCAAAUAUAAGCUUUCCUCCAAAACUAGUAGACCUACCUAGACAACAUUUUAAGGCAUCAUGUGUGGUGGCCAAAUUUUACAGUAACAUAUCCUUCACAGAUAACACAAUACCAGGAUGCAUUGCGACAGUAUCUGUGAAACAUACAAGAUGAUGGAUGCAGUCGAGAGAAAUAUUUCCAAUAAAUACUUACAUUUCAUGCAACAAAAACAGUUUCAGUCAAAUCCACAGCAAAAUAUUCUGUUGCUGGGGGCUACAUUGUUAUUUCUUCCUCUAAUGAGGAAGGUUUUGGAACUAAUUUCACAGUGUCAAGUACACAGACUAAUUAAUGGACCCUGAAAGUGGAUGUUAAUGAUGGGAUUGAUGCUGUGUAUCUGUGUGCUGCUAGUUUACACAAUGAAACAAAUAAAAAGAAAAAGAAAUGGUGUAAGAAAAAAUGCAAUAAAAUCCUGCAAUCACACCUGCCUUAACCAUGAAUAAAUAAACCCAUAUUUGUACAAACCAGUCAGCAGAACCUGACAAC
This 1225-nucleotide long non-coding RNA is filed under the name Carassius auratus (goldfish). RNAcentral's name for it is "lncRNA (ENSCARG00000038338.1)". Lineage: Eukaryota; Metazoa; Chordata; Actinopteri; Cypriniformes; Cyprinidae. The record is from RNAcentral.